RNAcentral lists this unclassified non-coding RNA (404 nucleotides) under soil metagenome. RNAcentral's name for it is "partial contains 5.8S ribosomal RNA, internal transcribed spacer 2, and large subunit ribosomal RNA". The stretch from base 1 to 122 matches the Rfam family "5.8S ribosomal RNA", at positions 35 to 154 of the family's 154-position model. The record is from RNAcentral.
GAUGAAGAACGUAGCAAAAUGCGAUACUUGGUGUGAAUUGCAGAAUCCCGUGAACCAUCGAGUUUUUGAACGCAAGUUGCGCCCGAAGCCUUUUGGCCGAGGGCACGUCUGCCUGGGCGUCACGCAUCGCGUCGCCCCCCACAGUUCUCCGUAAAAGGAACAUGUGUUUUGGGGGCGGAUAUUGGUCUCCCGUGCUCAUGGCGUGGUUGGCCGAAAUAGGAGUCCUUUCGAUGGACGCACGAACUAGUGGUGGUCGUAAAAACCCUCGUCUUUUGUUUCGUGCUGUUGCUCGCAAGGUAAACUCUUUAAAAACCCCAAUGUGUCGUCUCUUGACGACGCUUCGACCGCGACCCCAGGUCAGGCGGGACUACCCGCUGAGUUUAAGCAUAUCAAUAAGCGGAGGA